Solenopsis invicta (red fire ant) is the source of this 1891-nucleotide RNA transcript. RefSeq lists it as uncharacterized. The transcript is spliced from 6 exons. The record is from RefSeq and is a predicted model, not a curated record. NCBI's taxonomy places the organism in Eukaryota, Metazoa, Arthropoda, Insecta, Hymenoptera, Formicidae.
UUGAUUAGUUGAUGGCAUCUUAAGAUGAUACUUAAGAUGAUCUUAAAUAUAAGAAUCGACUAUGAAUACCGGCCUAUGUAUACAAAUAUUUUAAUUGCAAUAUUCAUGAAAAGUCAUUCAAUAUUCACGAGAUAAAAGUCCAAAGAAACGAUUAUAUUUGUCCAAAUUUUAAUUUCAAUUUUUUGCCAAAAAAAUAAAUAUGCAAAGAAAAUAAAUAUAAAAAAACAUACAAAAAUCAGCAAACGACUAGCAGUCAAAUACCGUUUUCCAAAUUAUUGAAAUUGUUAGUACAACAGCUUCCUUCAUGUAAAUAUACACUAAGUUGCGUUCUAAAAUUCAUUCAAAAUUUAAAAUAUGUAUGAAAUCUAGAUUUUCAGUGACAGUGAAUUUUGGAAGCCCUAAACAGAAGUCGUUGGUGUUCGCUUAUAUGUUCUGUGGUUUGCCUGCAGUUGUCGGGAACGGACGUCUUCGUACAUAUACUCGUACGUUCAUAUAUUAACCUUUAGAUUGCAGAGUAUAACUUUUGAAGAAAAAACAUAAAAACAGAAAUAUUGUUUCCUAAGUGCUUAGAUUUCUAGAUUAAGUACACUUUUUAUAUUUGCAAUAUAAAAAUGGAAAUAAUAUUUGGAAAAAGAAGAGGCAGCUAUUUGUAUGUAUAUGAAGGAUAUACAUACAAUAUUGAUAAAAGAUGUAAUAAUAUAUACCGUUGCGCAAAAAGACGUACUGUGCUGUGUAGUGGAUCAUUAAUAAAAGUAGAACAAAAAUAUUUUAUUAAAAAUGAACAUAAUCAUCCAAGGGAGCCUUACAUAGCUGAUAUUUUAAAAUUAAAACAAGAAAUGAUUCAAAUGUGUAAAGAAAUCACUACAACAAACAAAGAAAUAUUUGAUACCGUUUCUCGAAAAAAUCCAAAAGCUGCAGCUUUCAUUUCAUAUAAAGCUAUGAGAAAUCAAUUAUCAAAAGAAAAAAUCAAAAUGCGUCCUUCGUUACCUACAAACGUGUAUGAGCUUGACAGUUUGCUUCGAGGUUAUGAACCUACAACAAAUAUUUAUAAAGGCUGUGUUAUAUCUGAAGAUAACAAAUGUUCCUACAUGUUUACUACUGAUAAGCUUCUAAAAAUAUUAGAGAAAUGUUCUGAAAUUUUUAUUGAUGGUACAUUUUCUAUUGUACCUAGAGUACCAAGCUUUGCACAACUAUUUUCAAUACAUAUGCGAUACAUGGAUAAGGGUAUUGCAGUAGUAUUUAUUUUGUGUGAAGCCAGAACACAAUUAGUUUAUAAAUCCAUAUGGAAAGAAAUUAUAAAAUUGGCGCCUAAUCUACAAUGUAAUUUGCGUUUCAUAAUGAUGGAUUAUGAAAAAGCAUCGAUGAACGCUGUCCAUGAACAGUUUCCUCAUGCAUCUCUACGAGGCUGUUGGUUUCAUUACUGUCAAGCUGUUCUUAAAAAGUGGAAACGAUUAGGACUUUUGAAAGCACCAUAUAAAAUAGUAUCCAUGGCAAUGACAUUAGCAUUAACACCAUCAGAAAUGUUUGCAGAAGGUUUAAAUCUCAUGCAGACAAUUGCUGAUGAAGAAUCUGAAAAUUAUCCUAACGUAUUGGUCUUUUUGAGAUAUAUGAGAAACACAUGGCUUCCAAUAUAAAAAAAAAUAAGUGUAUAUGGAUGCCCAAUUAGGACUAACAAUCUUGUGGAAUCAUUUCAUAGUAUUAUGUUGAAAAAAAUGCAUACGAUUCAUCCAAAUUUUUGGACAUUCUUAGAUAAUAUUUCCAAAUUAAUUAUGGAUCAGGAAAUUAAUUAUAACCGUUUAAUAAAUGGCCUACAAUUAUCAAGGGAUCGUAAUCCGUUUAACGAGUCUAAAAAUAAAAAAAUUGAAAAAGCACAAUAUUAUUUAUCCAGUGG